This 462-nucleotide ribosomal RNA is filed under the name Bacillus velezensis. Its description in RNAcentral is "bacterial SSU rRNA". It matches the Rfam family "Bacterial small subunit ribosomal RNA", at positions 63 to 507 of the family's 1533-position model. The record is from RNAcentral. Lineage: Bacteria; Bacillati; Bacillota; Bacilli; Caryophanales; Bacillaceae.
CGAGCGGACAGAUGGGAGCUUGCUCCCUGAUGUUAGCGGCGGACGGGUGAGUAACACGUGGGUAACCUGCCUGUAAGACUGGGAUAACUCCGGGAAACCGGGGCUAAUACCGGAUGGUUGUCUGAACCGCAUGGUUCAGACAUAAAAGGUGGCUUCGGCUACCACUUACAGAUGGACCCGCGGCGCAUUAGCUAGUUGGUGAGGUAACGGCUCACCAAGGCGACGAUGCGUAGCCGACCUGAGAGGGUGAUCGGCCACACUGGGACUGAGACACGGCCCAGACUCCUACGGGAGGCAGCAGUAGGGAAUCUUCCGCAAUGGACGAAAGUCUGACGGAGCAACGCCGCGUGAGUGAUGAAGGUUUUCGGAUCGUAAAGCUCUGUUGUUAGGGAAGAACAAGUGCCGUUCAAAUAGGGCGGCACCUUGACGGUACCUAACCAGAAAGCCACGGCUAACUACGUG